This 69-nucleotide transfer RNA is filed under the name Smutsia temminckii (ground pangolin). RNAcentral describes it as "Manis temminckii (ground pangolin) tRNA-Gly". The record is from RNAcentral. Lineage: Eukaryota; Metazoa; Chordata; Mammalia; Pholidota; Manidae.
AUUUUCUGAGUAUACACAGUACAGUUAACUUCCAAUUAACGGGAUCUGGUAAAAAUCCAGAAGAAAAUA